CAAAAUACUAUUGGCCAGGGAUGACAAAAGACAUUGCCAAUUGGGUUGCACAGUGUCUGACUUGCCAGAAAGAGGGAAAGCAAUCAAAUCUGGAUACCCCCUUGAAAAGCAUAAAGGUCACUCGGAUCUGGGAAUUGGUGGGAAUGGAUUUAAUAGGACCAUUACCAGUAACAAAGGAUGGAUACCAGUAUAUACUUACAGUCAUAGAUUAUCUUUCAAGAUGGGUGGAAGCCUUUCCACUUAGAAGUAAGUCAUCAUUUGAGGUGGUAGAGAACAUGUACAGAAUGAUUCUUUGACGUGGAUGCCCACAGCGGAUACUGACAGAUCGUGG
Molecule: long non-coding RNA, 331 nt
Filed under: Gopherus agassizii (Agassiz's desert tortoise)
Lineage: Eukaryota; Metazoa; Chordata; Testudines; Testudinidae
Description: lncRNA (ENSGAGG00000013509.1)
Source: RNAcentral